GACGAACGUUGGCGGCGUGCUUAACACAUGCAAGUCGAACGGAAAGGCCCUGCUUUUGUGGGGUGCUCGAGUGACGAACGGGUGAGUAACACGUGAGUAACCUGCCCUUGACUUUGGGAUAACUUCAGGAAACUGGGGCUAAUACCGGAUAGGAGCUCCUGCUGCAUGGUGGGGGUUGGAAAGUUUCGGCGGUUGGGGAUGGACUCGCGGCUUAUCAGCUUGUUGGUGGGGUAGUGGCUUACCAAGGCUUUGACGGGUAGCCGGCCUGAGAGGGUGACCGGCCACAUUGGGACUGAGUUACGGCCCAGACUCCUACGGGAGGCAGCAGUGGGGAAUAUUGCACAAUGGGCGGAAGCCUGAUGCAGCAACGCCGCGUGCGGGAUGACGGCCUUCGGGUUGUAAACCGCUUUCGCCUGUGACGAAGCGUGAGUGACGGUAAUGGGUAAAGAAGCACCGGCUAACUACGUGCCAGCAGCCGCGGUGAUACGUAGGGUGCGAGCGUUGUCCGGAUUUAUUGGGCGUAAAGGGCUCGUAGGUGGUUGAUCGCGUCGGAAGUGUAAUCUUGGGGCUUAACCCUGAGCGUGCUUUCGAUACGGGUUGACUUGAGGAAGGUAGGGGAGAAUGGAAUUCCUGGUGGAGCGGUGGAAUGCGCAGAUAUCAGGAGGAACACCAGUGGCGAAGGCGGUUCUCUGGGCCUUUCCUGACGCUGAGGAGCGAAAGCGUGGGGAGCGAACAGGCUUAGAUACCCUGGUAGUCCACGCUGUAAACGGUGGGUACUAGGUGUGGGGUCCAUUCCACGGGUUCCGUGCCGUAGCUAGCGCUUUAAGUACCCCGCCUGGGGAGUACGGCCGCAAGGCUAAAACUCAAAGGAAUUGACGGGGCCCCGCACAAGCGGCGGAGCAUGCGGAUUAAUUCGAUGCAACGCGUAGAACCUUACCUGGGUUUGACAUGGAUCGGGAGUGCUCAGAGAUGGGUGUGCCUCUUUUGGGGUCGGUUCACAGGUGGUGCAUGCCUGUCGUCAGCUCGUGUCGUGAGAUGUUGGGUUAAGUCCCGCAACGAGCGCAACCCUUGUUCACUGUUGCCAGCACGUUAUGGUGGGGACUCAGUGGAGACCGCCGGGGUCAACUCGGAGGAAGGUGGGGAUGACGUCAAGUCCUCAUGCCCCUUAUGUCCAGGGCUUCACGCAUGCUACAAUGGCUGGUACAGAGAGUGGCGAGCCUGUGAGGGUGAGCGAAUCUCGGAAAGCCGGUCUCAGUUCGGAUUGGGGUCUGCAACUCGACCUCAUGAAGUCGGAGUCGCUAGUAAUCGCAGAUCAGCAACGCUGCGGUGAAUACGUUCCCGGG
Molecule: ribosomal RNA, 1343 nt
Filed under: uncultured bacterium
Lineage: Bacteria
Description: 16S ribosomal RNA
Rfam family: Bacterial small subunit ribosomal RNA
Source: RNAcentral